Long non-coding RNA from Bacillus rossius redtenbacheri, 3992 nucleotides. RefSeq lists it as uncharacterized. Lineage: Eukaryota; Metazoa; Arthropoda; Insecta; Phasmatodea; Bacillidae. The record is from RefSeq and is a predicted model, not a curated record. The transcript has 2 exons.
ACCACAUUCACGGAGCGCUGAUGGGAUGACUGAGAGGGGAAAACAGAGCACCUCCGAGGAAACCCAUUGGUGAUCCGUGGUCCUUUCUCAGUAAGGUGGUAGCAGUACAUUGCAAUCACCUGCCUUUCACCAUCUGGCUGUCAAUCUUGGUAGAUUCAGACCCACGUUUUUCAUAAAUGGGAGAUUUGGAAGAUGCAGCCAUAGACCAGCAAGUCCACCCUUUUGCUAUUCACGUAUAGUUUAUUGUCAAUUAAAGGGAUGACAUCUAUCACUUCAGGAGAUGUUACCCACACCCUCAUUAAAUAAUUCAUUAAUAUACCUCAUAAGGCUUGAUCACUAAUGCAUGGCUAUCAUGAAUUCAGAUAGUAUAUUUAAUUACUGACGCAUAGUCUGUGACGUUUUUAGUCAAUUAUUACAGGUUACAAACCGAGUACCAAAACCUUCUCAUGAAUUUAAGCCUCUUUUAACCAUUUUUAAAUUUGCUGUUUAUUGUUGUGGUGAUACAAAGCAAAAUUAUAUACAUACUUUAUUUGUUUCUUAACUAAAGUAGGCUAUGAUAAUUAGGUUAAGUAAACUUUGCCCUUUAAAGAUUUAGAUGUAAUUUAUUAAUGUACUGCUUUCCCGGGUAUCUAAUAAUUCUUAAUCAAUACAUAUUCCCACACACAUUCAACACCAUUUCUUACCCCAGAUUUCAAAAAUCCACACAAUGUUGAUUGUUAAUCUAAAUUAUUGGUAUUGAUUUUAAACUAAAUUAGGAACAGUAAAGGUUCUUACAUUUUGUCCUUGAUUUUGGCGAGCUUUGCUGUCUGACUUGUCUUCGUUAUCAUCGUCUGUCAGGAACUCUCUCUUGGGGUAAGGGAUCUGGCAACCUGCAAAAACACUGUGCAAUGCGCAAGUUAACGAAGCGUUCUCCCAAAUCCAGCUACGCCACUACCACGGGCGAGUGGGGGAACCAACAUUUUAAGUGCCAAAAAAUUGUGUAUACAAAAGUACACAUUUACAGAAAUCUUGUAAUAACAAACUAAACAAAUACUUAAUCCACGUAUUCGUCUCAUGAGUGAACACUAGACAUGGCCGAUAUAAUAGUUUUGACUUUUUUGUUCAUGGCCCGUAGGCAAUUCAUAAGAACUGUAAAACCUUACUGUCUUUAGGAAUCCACACCUUUUGAUUUUCUCGAGGAAACAUAGCAGCAUCUCUGGAGAUGGUCUGCAGCUACAUUGUCUGCCUUUGUCCCCCUCCUGCUAGCACACACUGCUUCCCUCCACCCCCACUCGAUGUUAUUACCCUUACUUCCCCUCUUUUGCUUGGAUGCCUGGAGGAAGUGAAGAGCGCUCUCCAUUCCCUUGCUGCGUAUAAGUCUCAUGGCCUAGACCUGAGACCAAUUUAUAUUUAAAACAAUUCAUGUCGUGUAUUGAGAAUCGAGAAGACGUUUGCUGAAAUUAGUUGUUAAAUACACUGUUUUAACAACAGAUUAAUUUGUAAUACACGUGCGUUCAUUGCUUGCAUAAGGGAAGCCAAGCAAUGGUUUGGUUCCUCAGCCUGGCCUCGCUGGUAUUGGGUACAAGUGGAAAUCGCAAAGAUAGAGCCUAUCUCUUAGCUUCAGCGUAAGAAACGGAAUACAGACAAUGGAUCACAUCAUUAAAGAGCAGUGUGAAGUACGUUGUAUCAAGAAUUCAGUGUGUUUGUUUUGAAAAUUUUAAAUGUCACUGAAAUAACAUAUUUCAAUAACAGAUUUAGAAUCUGAAAAAGUAGGGGAACUGACCAUUUCCUUAGUUCCAUUAAAUAUCCUCCAAUUUUUUAGUUAAUUAUGACCAGGAAUAUAAGUGCCCUUGGCCACUGCGCCCUGAUACUCACUCCGGCGUAGGCAGUGGCUCUUCCUGGAAAUAUGCGUCUUGUAUUGCCUGCUCCGACGUGAUUCUCUUGGUGGGAUCCAUCAACAACAGCUUCUGCAACUAUCGCCCACAACACUGAUGCACUUAACGCUUGCAACAGCAACAUUACGUGUACUUGAUCUCCCUCAGCUUUGCAAGGAUUCAUCACUGUAUAGAAUAUCAUAUGCACUGUUAUAACAUCUACAUAGUUACAGAGAACAAAAACCAUAAUUGGCACAUAAAAAUUUUGAUUUAGAUGACAAAAAUAACUGUAACUGGAACACUUCUCCUUCUUUAGCAGCAGAUUCAGCAGGAAUGAGACGCUCAACCUUUAUUUUCCUUGUCAUAAAUUACUAGAAAAUACUAGGGUUGCCUGAAAAGUUACCAACCUUGACAUGAAGAUGGCAGCACUUGUCAAUAAAAACUGGGGAAUGUGUUUGCUCGAUCUUUGGAAUAUACUCUCUGAAAUUUCAGCCAAUUUCAGCUCACUCGCCACUGAUCAGGAUAACAUUUUGCACGCUAAUAAAAUGGGCAAACACAAACUCUGGUUAGUUUAUUUUAAAAUUUUUCCCGGUGUUCCUUUCUCUAGCCGAAUGCCAGCCAGUCACAUCACUUGCCGAGUACCUGCCAGGCCGAUGGGUAGGUGGUAGACGUAGCGCAAGAGCCUAACAAACCUGGAGAUGUGAAGCAGCAGUCAGGGCAUCCCCAUCUGGUUUAAAGUAUGAUGAAUUUUACAGCUGAGAGGGUAGGAGAUACGAAGGGUCAAAGGGUUGAACCAAACAGCUUCCUGACCCGUUAUAGGGUAGAAUGGCCGGAGUGCUUCAGAAUAUGAAAAACAUAUACGUAGUUUAAUAUAAAUACAGAUAACUCGAAAACUGGAAAAUCUAGGCCCAGAUAAUUGAAAGUUUAUUAUAAAAACACUGUUGUUUUUUUUUUAUUAAUGACAAGGAAUAUAAGUACUGAGCUGUUCAUCCCCGCGGACUGUUCCUAAAGAAGAAAUACCAUGAAUGUUAUAGUUACAUAAGUUAUUGGAAAUAGUAUUAGUAUGUGCCAAAUAUUGUUUUCAUUGUCUCUGAUCAGUAGUUAUAAUUAUGCACCAAUGGUUAUAAUAUAUUCCGGACACUACUGAACCGUACAGACAAUUUUAUAACCAUAUGUCUAGAAAUAAAAAAGAGGAGCCACUUAACGCAACUCACCAGGUGGAAGGCUUUGCUGUCCUGCUUGAUCUUGUGCCUGUCCAUGUACUUGAGCAAGGAGCAGUUGGAGUAACUGCAACACACACCACUUCCCCUUCACGACCCGCUCCAACAGCACACGCCCCACCGCCAGUAGCCCGACAAGACUGCCACUCACUUGCCCCUCUUGAAGUCCUUGAGCAGCGUGGGGUGCUCCGGCAUCUUCUUGAUGUCCUCCCACUCCUUCUCCUGCGGGAAGCCCAUCACGUUGAAUAUCCUGUCCAGCUGGUCGUGGUGGUACGGGUUGCUGGUCUUGAUGUCCUCCUGCCGGCAGUGGAAGAUGGGCUCCGAGGUGAGCAGCUCCGCGAAGAUGCAGCCUAUGGCCCAGAUGUCUGCGGACAGGAGACGAGCCGGCACUGCACCUCGUCCUCGUCUCCCGCCCUCGUCCUCGUCCUCGUCUGCCGCCCGACUCACCGAUGGCCUUGGUGUAGUGCCGCGCCCCCAGCAGCAGCUCCGGGGCUCGGUACCAGAAGGUGACCACCACGGGGUCCAGGUCGGCCAGGGGCUUGAGGGGCGCGUUGAAGAGCCGCGCGAAGCCCAUGUCCGCGAUCUUCACGCGCCCGCGCUCCGGGCCCUCCCCCAUCACCAGGAUGUUGGCCGGUUUCUGGACACGGAACAGACUCUGGCAACCACUACUUGGCAAGCUCUCUCCACAACAGUUCUAGAUUUGUAGCCUCUUCAGUCCUCUGCUUACUUAGGAGCAUAUGCAGAUCUCGGUGCAGGACCCAGUUGGAGUGGAGGUAGUGUAUUCCGUCGAGGAUCUGGAACAGCAGGGACUUCACCAUCCCCUUGGGCACCAUCACCGGCUUCUUGUUGGCCUUCGCAGCCCGGUGGAACUUGAUUAUGUGCUGUUCAAAAAUCACAGAAAUACAUUGAAUGAUACCAA